UUUCCGGGUGGGUCCUGCCGGAAGAUAUGUUCGGGUCCGAUUCAGCCAUGCUAGUUGUACGGGUUUAGACCCGUAGCAAAUAGCUCCGUAACACGUGGUCAAACUACCCUCUGGACCGGAAUACCCUCGGGAAACUGAGGCAAUUCCGGAUACUGCUUUCAUGUUGGAACACAGAAAGUCGGAAACGGUCCGCCGCCGGAGGACGUGACUGCGGCCGAUUAGGUAGACGGUGGGGUAACGGCCCACCGUGCCGAUAAUCGGUACGGGUUGUGAGAGCAAGAACCCGGAGACGGUAUCUGAGACAAGAUACCGGGCCCUACGGGGCGCAGCAGGCGCGAAACCUUUACACUGCACGCCAGUGCGAUAAGGGGACCCCGAGUGCGAGGGCAUACAGUCCUCGCUUUUCGUGACCGUAAGAAGGUCUCAGAAUAAGAGCUGGGCAAGACCGGUGCCAGCCGCCGCGGUAAUACCGGCAGCUCGAGUGAUAGCCACUAUUAUUGGGCCUAAAGCGUCCGUAGCCGGCCGAACAGGUCCGUCGGGAAAUCCACCCGCUCAACGGGUGGACGUCCGGCGGAAACCAGUCGGCUUGGGGCCGGGAGACCAGAGAGGUACGUCCGGGGUAGGAGUGAAAUCCCGUAAUCCUGGACGGACCGCCGGUAGCGAAAGCGUCUCUGGAGAACGGACCCGACGGUGAGGGACGAAAGCUUGGGUCUCGAACCGGAUUAGAUACCCGGGUAGUCCAAGCUGUAAACGAUGCUCGCUAGGUGUGGCGUUGGCUACGAGCCACGCUGUGCCUAGGGAAGCCGAGAAGCGACCGCCUGGGAAUACGUCCGCAGGAUGAAACUUAAAGGAAUUGGCGGGGGAGCACUACACCGGAGAGCGCUGUUUUAAUUGGA
RNAcentral lists this ribosomal RNA (896 nucleotides) under Halococcus thailandensis. RNAcentral's name for it is "bacterial SSU rRNA". It matches the Rfam family "Archaeal small subunit ribosomal RNA", at positions 1 to 910 of the family's 1478-position model. The record is from RNAcentral. Lineage: Archaea; Methanobacteriati; Methanobacteriota; Halobacteria; Halobacteriales; Halococcaceae.